RNAcentral lists this ribosomal RNA (433 nucleotides) under uncultured bacterium. Its description in RNAcentral is "partial 16S ribosomal RNA". It matches the Rfam family "Bacterial small subunit ribosomal RNA", at positions 29 to 507 of the family's 1533-position model. The record is from RNAcentral.
AACGAACGCUGGCGGCAGGCCUAACACAUGCAAGUCGAGCGCGCCCUUCGGGGUGAGCGGCGGACGGGUGAGUAACGCGUGGGAACGUGCCCUUUUCUACGGAAUAGCCUCGGGAAACUUAGAGUAAUAACGUAUACGCCCUUUGGGGGAAAGAUUUAUCGGAAAAGGAUCGGCCCGCGUUGGAUUAGGUAGUUGGUGGGGUAAUGGCCUACCAAGCCGACGUUGCCGAGCUGGUUGGAGAGGAGGAUCAGCCACGCUGGGACUGCGACCCGGCCCAGACUGCGACGGAAGGGAGGAGUAGGGAAUCUUAGACGAUGGAGCCAAAUCUGGCAACGCCACGCCGGGUAUGUGAUGCAGGCCUUAGUGUUGUAAAGCUCUCUGAGCUGGGAAGAUAAUGACGGUACCAGCUAAAGAAGCCCCGGCUAACUACGUG